CGCUGAGGCACGAAAGCAUGGGUAGCGAACAGGAUUAGAUACCCUGGUAGUCCACGCCGUAAACUAUGAUUACUCGUUCUCGGCGAUACACAGUCGGGGACCAAGCGAAAGUGAUAAGUAAUCCACCUGGGGAGUACGAUCGCAAGGUUGAAACUCAAAGGAAUUGACGGGGGCCCGCACAAGCGGUGGAGCAUGUGGUUUAAUUCGAUGAUACGCGA
RNAcentral lists this ribosomal RNA (218 nucleotides) under Alexandrium margalefii. RNAcentral's name for it is "partial Bacterial small subunit ribosomal RNA". It matches the Rfam family "Bacterial small subunit ribosomal RNA", at positions 744 to 964 of the family's 1533-position model. The record is from RNAcentral. Lineage: Eukaryota; Dinophyceae; Gonyaulacales; Pyrocystaceae.